GAAAUGCGAUAAGUAGUGUGAAUUGCAGAAUUCAGUGAAUCAUCGAAUCUUUGAACGCACAUUGCGCCCCUUGGUAUUCCAUGGGGCAUGCCUGUUCGAGCGUCAUUUGUACCUUCAAGCUCUGCUUGGUGUUGGGUGUUUGUCUCGCCUCUGCGCGCAGACUCGCCUCAAAACGAUUGGCAGCCGGCGUAUUGAUUUCGGAGCGCAGUACAUCUCGCGCUUUGACAACAAAACGACGACGUCCAAAAAGUACAUUUUUUACACUCUUGACCUCGGAUCAGGUAGGGAUACCCGCUGAACUUAA
This 304-nucleotide unclassified non-coding RNA is filed under the name uncultured Pleosporales. RNAcentral describes it as "sequence contains ITS1". The stretch from base 1 to 105 matches the Rfam family "5.8S ribosomal RNA", at positions 50 to 154 of the family's 154-position model. The record is from RNAcentral. Lineage: Eukaryota; Fungi; Ascomycota; Dothideomycetes; Pleosporales.